Molecule: long non-coding RNA, 1065 nt
Filed under: Oryctolagus cuniculus (rabbit)
Lineage: Eukaryota; Metazoa; Chordata; Mammalia; Lagomorpha; Leporidae
Description: lncRNA (ENSOCUG00000033835.1)
Source: RNAcentral
CCCCGCACCCCCUUUGUCUCGCUCGAUCCCGCACACCCUCUCCCCGCAGCUGCUUCCCGAGGGCCUCGCUCGCUCGGUACGCGACCGCGGCGGUGCGGGAGAGCGGGUAAGAGCGACGCGGGGGAGGGUGGAGGGUGUGGGAGACCGCGGGGCACUCGCACCCAGGGACCGGCGGCGAGCCCCACACACCCCGGGCACACCCGCACGUACCACCUCCGCCCUCGCGCGCGCCGCCGGGCGGCGUCGGGCGCUCCGCUACUUCCCGAGGGAGUCUGCUCGUGGCCGCGCGCGCGCGUGCACGGCCCAGCCGUCCCGCAAGCCCAGUCACCCACACGCGGCGCCACUCGCGCCUCAGCCGGGGCCGCGGCGGGGAGACCCCGAGCCUCGCGCGCGCCACCCCGCCUUCCAGGCGCCUAUGGGAGCGACGCUGCACCAGCGGGAGCCAAUCGUGGCGCGCGAGGGGCGGGGCAGGCCGGCGAGCCUUUAAAAGCACGCGCUUCAGCUCCGCCCCGACGCGUGAGCGGCUGUCAAGACGCCGGGCUCGCGCUCGCAGCACGCGUGCCGCAGCCGCCGGGCACGCCGAGGAGCCGCUCUGCGCGCGGGUGGCGGGCUGCGGGCCCCGGCGCGAGGCUGGGAGGCGGGGGCCUGCUCGCCGACCCUCGCCCGGAGCCAAGCGUUAAGGGCCGGAUUCCUGGUCGCUCAGGCCGGGGAUGCGCCGGCACCCGGCCCGGAGCCUGGGAGGGGUCCUUUGUCCUGACGGCCUCCCCCGCUCUGAGCAGGGGCUCUGCGCGUCCGAUAGCCUUCUCGGGGCGACCUCGGCGCCGCGUCGCGCCCACCUCAGGCACGGGGGACCAGGGCGGGUGUGGCCGGGGCCGCUCCGCCUGCCCUCCGGCCUCCUUGCGGGCGGCUCCCGGCUGCCGCCUGCGUCGUGUGGCGGUCACCGCCCUCUGCAACAGUGUGCCCAGCGUUUGCGGUGAGAGCCCGCGUGACUGCGGUCCCUGUGGGACCAGGCACGGCGCUGUGCAAACGACAGGCUCGCAUCCGCUGAUCCCGCGUUUCAGCUGA